AUUGAACGCUGGCGGCAGGCCUAACACAUGCAAGUCGAACGGUAACAGGAAACAGCUUGCUGUUUCGCUGACGAGUGGCGGACGGGUGAGUAAUGUCUGGGAAACUGCCUGAUGGAGGGGGAUAACUACUGGAAACGGUAGCUAAUACCGCAUAACGUCGCAAGACCAAAGAGGGGGACCUUCGGGCCUCUUGCCAUCGGAUGUGCCCAGAUGGGAUUAGCUAGUAGGUGGGGUAACGGCUCACCUAGGCGACGAUCCCUAGCUGGUCUGAGAGGAUGACCAGCCACACUGGAACUGAGACACGGUCCAGACUCCUACGGGAGGCAGCAGUGGGGAAUAUUGCACAAUGGGCGCAAGCCUGAUGCAGCCAUGCCGCGUGUAUGAAGGAGGCCUUCGGGUUGUAAAGUACUUUCAGCGGGGAUGAAGGGAGUAAAGUUAAUACCUUUGCUCAUUGACGUUACCCGCAGAAGAAGCACCGGCUAACUCCGUG
Molecule: ribosomal RNA, 490 nt
Filed under: uncultured bacterium
Lineage: Bacteria
Description: partial 16S ribosomal RNA
Rfam family: Bacterial small subunit ribosomal RNA
Source: RNAcentral